AGCUACUUGUUCCCGGCAACUCUGACGCAUUUCAUUGAAGAGCUACAAUAAAAAAAAUUCCAAACAAAAGUGUAACACACUCUAGCAAAGUCAACAUUCAAAGGCCAUGAAUUGCUAUGAAAAUUAAUACCAGGGGCAUCAACUUUCACCGAUAUUCUUAACUGGUGUUAUAAGUAAUCGUAAAGCCAUCUUACCGUUUUAACCCCUAUACAACAAUUAGUAUGAGACAUUUUUCGCCAUUUAAGGAAAUCAAAUUCUGAUUGAAGUGAUAGUUUAGGAUAAUUCAACUUAAUUUAAGAGGGCAACAUACUGCACAUAAGCCGCUGGAAUAUUGCAAAUGUCCACUUUAUCCUCCCCUUUUCACAAGAAGUUUUAUAUAAGUUUUGAUGCGCUAAUAUUUAGAGGUAGUUUUACGUGUUAGGACAACUUGAAAGUUAAAUGAAAUAAACUCAAUAAGUUGAAAAUCAAGUCAUAAUUAAAGGGUUACAUAUGAAAUUGUGCCCCAACACGAAAGUAAAGAAAGACAAUUAAUAUUUAAAAUAUAUUGUAACACGUUUAUAUGUGUAUAUUGAUAUCUUUUUCGACCUUUUGAAUAACAUCAAGUGUACGGGUAUUUAAUAUUUAUAGGGACAAGGAACAUAACAUCUGAGAUAAAAUCUUAGCCAACUCAAAAAGAUAUAGACAUGGGACCAUCUUAAAGGCUUUUAAAGAACUUCUUGAACAAUUCCUUGCAACUCAUGCUCCUUCUCUUAAAAUUUAGCUAUUGAGUAAUGCCCUUCUGACCUGCCAAUAUUUAUAAUGUUCAAUAUUAUAGUAGACUCUGUUGAUGGAUCUAAAACUUUCACUCUUUAUAGCAUCAGCAGGGGAAAAAAUAACAACAGAAAAAGAUAAGAAAAGAGAAAUCUUGAUGACUCUGGAAUUAGACAUUAUCAUAAGAAUUCCACCGAUAAAAUCCUUUGAGUGGUGUAUAUUUGAAGAAUUCCCAUAUUGAAGAGUUGCUAGUUGUGCAUAUAAAUCUUAUGGAGGCAACUUUUCACCUACACCAAGGAAAUAGAGUAGAAGAAUAUAAUACCUCAAGAUAAAUGAACCAUUGGAAGUUUCUAGAGUGACCUUUUAGGCCCUUAUUCUACACUCCUCCACAACCCUGUUACAAAGCUAUAAAUAAUCAUAAUAGAAGAGGGAAUAGUGAAUUAUUCAACACGGUAACAACAAAUAAGUGAAGUGUAUCACCAAAUAAGUUAAUCACAAAUUUAAGAAGAGCAGUUAAAAUCAGAAAGCACAAAUGGGUAAGAUUACCUUUGGUCACAAUUGUUGAAGGAGAAAACCCAGACUUGAUCGUAGAGAGCGUUUGUUAAAACCUGGAAAAGACGCUUCAAGCACUGAAUUAGCCAAUAAGUGCAUGUAUUAAUCAAAUCAGUUAGACAAACUUGAACAACAAAGUUGCAUUAGAAAGCUAAAAUAUUAACAAAAUAAUUAUCGACAACAUCUAACUUCCUUCAGUGCUUUAUAAAGCUAAAAUAUUAACAAAGUUGCGGAACAAUGGGAGCAAAAAAGGACAAUUAGAUGGAACUCUCAAAUGGAAAAGGAAAAAGGAUAAAUUAGGAGAAUAAAAAGCAGUAGGGGGAGAUAAAAGGGAUUACCAAUUUCUUUUUAGUUCUUGUACUCUAUUGUAGAUUCAACUUAGAAUGUUGUUUCUAUGCUAAUUUUGCACUGUUAUAAUUACGAGAUAGGUAAUAAAAAAAAAGCAGUUCUUUAGCAAUGGAGGAGAGGAAACUGAUAUCAUCGGUUUCAAUUGUGGGUGAGAGAGA
Molecule: long non-coding RNA, 1808 nt
Filed under: Nicotiana tabacum (common tobacco)
Lineage: Eukaryota; Viridiplantae; Streptophyta; Magnoliopsida; Solanales; Solanaceae
Description: long non-coding RNA (NTAB_LNC010922)
Source: RNAcentral